Molecule: long non-coding RNA, 1945 nt
Filed under: Nicotiana benthamiana
Lineage: Eukaryota; Viridiplantae; Streptophyta; Magnoliopsida; Solanales; Solanaceae
Description: long non-coding RNA (NBEN_LNC014340)
Source: RNAcentral
CAUGCUGACCACAUCUUCUUUAAUGAUGUCCCAGCAUGAUUGGUAGAAAGCUCCAGUGAAACCGUCUGGACCGCCUGCUGAAUCCCCAUUCAGCCCCAUUACUGCUUUCUUCACUUCCUCAUUCGAAGGUAAGACCAUCAAUCUCUCAUGUUGACCAGGAUCUAUCAUUGGAGGUACAUGUUUUAAAAUAUCAAAAUCAUUGGGAAAAGACCUCUCAGAAAAUAAAUCCUUGUAAAAUUUUACAGCUUCCUCUGCUAUUUUGUGAUCUUCUUCAAUCCAAUUACCAUAUUGGGAAAAGACCUCUCAGAAAAUAACUCCUUGUAACAUUUAACAGCUUCCUCUGCUAUUUUGUGAUCUUCUUCAAUCCAAUUACCAUCACUAUCCUGGAUUCUUGAUAACUUUAUCUUUUCCUUCUCCCGUUAACCUGGGCAUGAAAAAUUUUUGUGUUUCUAUUACCAUCUUUAAACCACAACAUGCCUGCUUUUUGUUUCCAGAAUAAUUCUUCUAAUGCAAGAUAUUUAAGCAAUUCAGCUUGAACCUGUUGUAAUCUUUGUCUAUUUGUCUGAGUAGGAUUAAUUUCAAAAUGAUUUUCAUGAAUUAGUACCACCUCCUCUAGACUUUCAAUCUUCUUGAAAAUAUCCCCAUAUGUAGCCCUACUCCAGGUAGACAGUGCAUGUUUAAGCUUUUUUAACUUGAAGUUAAAAUUGCUGAAAGGAUUUGCACUAAAAUCAGUAUUCCAGGUCUCUUUCACUACAUCUUUAAAAGAUUCAUGCUUUAUUCAUAAAUUAAGAAAUCUGAACGACUUCUUAAUUGGGGGAGUAUUUAUAUUACAUUUGAGAAGCAUGAGGCAAUGGUCAGAGCCUAUUUUGGACAAAUGAGUUACCUCCAAUCCAGGAAAGGCAUGUUGCAGUUCAUCAUUUCCUAGACAUCUAUCUAGUCUUUUGAAUAUACAGUCCUCUUCUGAUCUUCCGUUCCUUCUUUUAAAGAUUCAUGCUUUGUCCAAAAAUUAAGAAAUCUGAAAGACUUCUUAACUGGGGAAUUAUUUAUAUUACACUUGAGCAGCAUUGGGCAAUGGUCAGAGCCUAUUUUGGAUAAAUGAGUUACCUCCAAUCCAGGAAAGAUCUGUUGCAGUUCAUCAUUUCCUAGACAUCUAUCUAGUCUUUUGAAUAUACAGUCCUCUUCUGAUCUUCCAUUCCACCAUGUGAAAAUACUUCCUUUGAACCCCAAAUCGUUUAAAGAACAUGAGUUUAUGCAAUGUCUAAAGUCAUCUACUUCAAGGAACGAGACUGGAAAGCCACCAAACUUCUCUUCCUCAUCCCAAAUCACAUUAAAGUCUCCUCCGACCAGCCAUGGUACAGUAAUGUGUGAUGCCAUUGAAUAUAGAGAAUCCCAUAACUCAAUUCUUUCAAUGCGAUCGCAUUUAGCAUAUACUAACGUGAGGAUGAGCUCUGCAUGUGUUUCAGUGUGCACCAAUUUUAAAGUCAACUGUUGAGUCAAAUUAUACAAAAUAUGAACUUCAAAAUUUUCAUCAAUAAAAGCCCAAAUCUUGUUUGACACAUUUCCUAUAGCUUGAGCCAAACCAAUUCUUGCUCUAUAUCUCUCCAUUUUGUUAGACUGCUGCAUAGGUUCAAUAAUUCCAAUGAAUUGAAAUUGAUGUUUCCGAUGCAUUGUAACCAGCCUUUGAAAUGCUUGCUUUGUAUUUACUGAUCUCACAUUCCAGAUAAUGGCAUCCAUUAGAUGUUUUUGGGUUUGGACAAAUUGCUCCUUGUUUUUACUCCCUUGGAUUGUGCAUUUGAAUUCUCUUUUGACUGUUUCUUUUUUUCUUUUGCUGGAAAUUUCGCAGGUUCAAUAUGCCUUGGAGACAUACCCCCAUGCUUAGCAACAUUAAGAGAAAUUUGAGCAGUGGAUUCUUCCUCCAAAUCAACAUCUCUUAUUUCCACGUGUG